This 503-nucleotide ribosomal RNA is filed under the name uncultured Methylophilus sp. RNAcentral's name for it is "bacterial SSU rRNA". It matches the Rfam family "Bacterial small subunit ribosomal RNA", at positions 8 to 507 of the family's 1533-position model. The record is from RNAcentral. Lineage: Bacteria; Pseudomonadati; Pseudomonadota; Betaproteobacteria; Nitrosomonadales; Methylophilaceae.
AGAGUUUGAUCCUGGCUCAGAUUGAACGCUGGCGGAAUGCUUUACACAUGCAAGUCGAACGAUGAACCCUAGCUUGCUAGGGGAUUAGUGGCGAACGGGUGAGUAAUAUAUCGGAACGUGCCUUGUAAUGGGGGAUAACUAGUCGAAAGAUUAGCUAAUACCGCAUACGCCCUGAGGGGGAAAGUAGGGGAUCUUCGGACCUUACGUUAUAAGAGCGGCCGAUAUCUGAUUAGCUAGUUGGUGGGGUAAUGGCCUACCAAGGCUUCGAUCAGUAGCUGGUCUGAGAGGACGACCAGCCACACUGGAACUGAGACACGGUCCAGACCCCUACGGGAGGCAGCAGUGGGGAAUUUUGGACAAUGGGCGCAAGCCUGAUCCAGCCAUUCCGCGUGAGUGAAGAAGGCCUUCGGGUUGUAAAGCUCUUUCGCAAGGGAAGAAAACUUACUUUCUAAUAAAGAGUGAGGCUGACGGUACCUUGAUAAGAAGCACCGGCUAACUACGUG